RNAcentral lists this ribosomal RNA (429 nucleotides) under Pseudomonadota bacterium. RNAcentral describes it as "Proteobacteria bacterium partial 16S ribosomal RNA". It matches the Rfam family "Bacterial small subunit ribosomal RNA", at positions 355 to 776 of the family's 1533-position model. Lineage: Bacteria; Pseudomonadati; Pseudomonadota. The record is from RNAcentral.
UGGGGAAUAUUGGACAAUGGGCGAAAGCCUGAUCCAGCCAUGCCGCGUGUGUGAAGAAGGUCUUCGGAUUGUAAAGCACUUUAAGAUGGGAGGAAGGGCAGUAAGCGAAUACCUUGCUGUUUUGACGUUACCGACAGAAUAAGCACCGGCUAACUCUGUGCCAGCAGCCGCGGUAAUACAGAGGGUGCAAGCGUUAAUCGGAAUUACUGGGCGUAAAGCGCGCGUAGGUGGUUCGUUAAGUUGAAUGUGAAAGCCCCGGGCUCAACCUGGGAACUGCAUAGAAAAAAGGCGAGCUAGAGUAGGGCAGAGGGUGGUGGAAUUUCCUGUGUAGCGGUGAGAUGCGUAGAUAUAGGAAGGAAAACCAGUGGCGAAGGCGACCACCUGGGCUCAUACUGACACUGAGGUGCGAAAGCGUGGGGAGCAAACAGG